Long non-coding RNA from Schistocerca nitens (vagrant locust), 887 nucleotides. RefSeq lists it as uncharacterized. The transcript is spliced from 4 exons. The record is from RefSeq and is a predicted model, not a curated record. Lineage: Eukaryota; Metazoa; Arthropoda; Insecta; Orthoptera; Acrididae.
GCGGACACGUGGGCCGCAUGGCGGAUUCUCCGGCAGACGACGCAAGCACAGGAAGACCGUCACGAAGGGCUCUGACGACACGCUGCGCCUUACUCGUAUUCGUGGUCAUAGGUAGCCUGUUGUUCCUUGGAGGAAUGUUUUUCAAGUUCGUCUCUAGCUCCACAGAUGACGGAAACUUCAGCAUUCAGAGGCACAGCAGCACUCGUGUCUGAUAGUAUUUCUUGAUAGACAUCUCACCCUCUGGUGAUUAAUACAGAUGACCAGCAAGACCGCAGAGCGUCUGUGUUGGCGAGAGUGGUGUAGCUUCGGCUGCCAGACGGAUACGAUGCCAGGAAUCGUCAUCGCUACGCGGACAACGACUGCCGCCAUCUGCUGCCCAUGUUCAUCUAUCCACAGCAGUUUCCCUGCAAUGAGUGCAUGGACUUCCAACACCAAAGCCAGCAUGCAUUCAGUGUGACGGUGAGAAUCGCAGACGGCACCACAAGACUGGCAAUGGUCCAUGUUUCACCACUGCAAUGUACUCGUUUAGGACUCGCUGUGAAUAAUGUUGAUGUUGCACAGUUUGCGGCAGUACCAGCUGCUUGUCAACGAAGAACGUACCUUGCAGAUCAGAGUUAAUCCGCUAACGGAAAAUAAUCCUAUAUCGCAUUUCCUCUUGUGAAGGCAAAACCAGUUUUGAAUGAAUAUUUUCAUAAGCACUGACUCUGUGGGAACAACAAUGUUGUUAAGCCAUGGAAGGCAUCGUCUAUAAAAUGAGACCUCUAAACAGUACUAACGCUCAGAGGAACUAUGUUCUUAUGUAAAAAACUCUUUAGUUUAUACUUUUUCGUAUUUAUACUUCCUUCUUAUGUUUUUUAUUGUUAUUAAAUUUAAAUUUAAACGCCUAA